AGUGAACGCUGGCGGUAGGCUUAACACAUGCAAGUCGAACGGCAGCACAGUAAGAGCUUGCUCUUACGGGUGGCGAGUGGCGGACGGGUGAGGAAAAUAUCGGAAUCUACUUUUUCGUGGGGGAUAACGUAGGGAAACUUACGCUAAUAUCGCAUACGACCUACGGGUGAAAGCAGGGGAUCUUCGGACCUUGCGCGAUUGAAUGAGCCGAUGUCGGAUUAGCUAGUUGGCGGGGUAAAGGCCCACCAAGGCGACGAUCCGUAGCUGGUCUGAGAGGAUGAUCAGCGACACUGGAACGUAGACACGGUCCAGACUCCUACGGGAGGCAGCAGUGGGGAAUAUUGGACAGUAGGCGCAAGCCUUAUCCAGCGAUACCGCGUGGGUGAAGGAGGCCUUCGGGUUGUAAAGCCCUUUUGUUGGGAAAGAAAAGCAGCAGGUUAAUACCCCGCUGUUCUGACGGUACCCAAAGAAUAAGCACCGGCUAACUUCGUG
RNAcentral lists this ribosomal RNA (492 nucleotides) under uncultured bacterium. RNAcentral describes it as "partial 16S ribosomal RNA". It matches the Rfam family "Bacterial small subunit ribosomal RNA", at positions 29 to 507 of the family's 1533-position model. The record is from RNAcentral.